This is a long non-coding RNA of Bubalus bubalis (water buffalo), 847 nucleotides long. RefSeq lists it as uncharacterized. The record is from RefSeq and is a predicted model, not a curated record. The transcript is spliced from 3 exons. NCBI's taxonomy places the organism in Eukaryota, Metazoa, Chordata, Mammalia, Artiodactyla, Bovidae.
CACUGAGCCCCGUGGGAAGCUCCCUCAAAGGACAAAGUAAGUUUUAAGCUUCCAAGCAAGCAGACUGAGCAAGAACUCAUGGCUCCAGAGAAAGCUCUUGGAUAGAGAAACAGUGAGAACAGGCAACUUAAGUGGAAAGUGUCAGUGCACUGGUAACUGGUCAUCGGAAUUGCAGGACUACUCGUCACCUCGGCAAAAGAUCUUCCUCCCCUGAAACAAGCAGAAUGGGGGUGGUUGGUGGCCAUGUUCACACCCAUACUUGAUAUUGACUUCCACAAUACAAGGAUUCAAGGUGUACAGCUUCCUGUGAGAAUGUAAACUGGCAGUUCUCUGUGGUGGCCUGCCGGGGUGCAAAAGGACAGCAAUCUGGAUUAAAUUUAAUGAAGGUAUGUGAUUUGACCUGACAUGGCCACUAGUGAGAGAGAACAGAAAGAAUCCGUAGAUCUGAAGUUCCCAGGGAAGAAGGAAUGGGAACACAGCAACCUGGUGAAGAAGUUCUUGAAAUUAUUGCUAUCAUUCCUACAAACUGUCACCUCCUUGAAGCAGCCUCUCCCACGAAUCAAUUACCUCUUCAUCUUCAGAACUUUGUUCAAGAUUCACGUCUAGGAUUUCCUGAAGUAGCUGCAUCAGGUUCCAGGUCAUCUAGAAAUUUUGCGCUAUGUGCAUGUUCCCUUCCUGAUUCUUUCAUAAUUUGAUCUGCGUCCCUGGACCGUAAGAUUUGAAUUUGUACCUUUAAGCAUUUUUGUAUGUAUUAUUUAUGCAAGCAUUAGUAUGUGUAUUUGUCCUCCAUACUACAUUAGUUAGAAGUCUUAAAGGCAGGCUUGAUGUAUCAGUCAUGCCAAAUAAG